CUACGGGGGGCAGCAGUGGGGAAUAUUGGACAAUGGGGGCAACCCUGAUCCAGCCAUGCCGCGUGUGUGAAGAAGGCCUUUUGGUUGUAAAGCACUUUAAGCAGUGAAGAAGACCAUAUGGUUAAUACCCAUAUGCGAUGACAUUAGCUGCAGAAUAAGCACCGGCUAACUCUGUGCCAGCAGCCGCGGUAAUACAGAGGGUGCAAGCGUUAAUCGGAAUUACUGGGCGUAAAGCGAGCGUAGGUGGCUUGAUAAGUCAGAUGUGAAAUCCCCGGGCUUAACCUGGGAACUGCAUCUGAUACUGUUAAGCUAGAGUAGGGGAGAGGGAAGUAGAAUUCCAGGUGUAGCGGUGAAAUGCGUAGAGAUCUGGAGGAAUACCGAUGGCGAAGGCAGCUUCCUGGCAUCAUACUGACACUGAGGUUCGAAAGCGUGGGUAGCAAACAGGAUUAGAUACCCUCGUAGUC
Molecule: ribosomal RNA, 464 nt
Filed under: uncultured bacterium
Lineage: Bacteria
Description: partial 16S ribosomal RNA
Rfam family: Bacterial small subunit ribosomal RNA
Source: RNAcentral